RNAcentral lists this unclassified non-coding RNA (344 nucleotides) under soil metagenome. RNAcentral's name for it is "partial contains 5.8S ribosomal RNA, internal transcribed spacer 2, and large subunit ribosomal RNA". The stretch from base 1 to 119 matches the Rfam family "5.8S ribosomal RNA", at positions 35 to 154 of the family's 154-position model. The record is from RNAcentral.
GAUGAAGAACGUAGCGAAAUGCGAUACGUAAUGUGAAUUGCAAAUUCAGUGAAUCAUCGAGUCUUUGAACGCACAUUGCGCCCCCUGGUAUUCCGGGGGGCAUGCCUGUCCGAGCGUCAUUGCUGCCCUCAAGCCCGGUUUGUGUGUUGGGCCCCGUCCUCCGAUUCCGGGGGACGGGCCCGAAAGGCAGCGGCGGCACCGCGUCCGGUCCUCGAGCGUAUGGGGCUUUGUCACCCGCUCUGUAGGCCCGGCCGGCGCUUGCCGAUCAACCCAAAUUUUUAUCCAGGUUGACCUCGGAUCAGGUAGGGAUACCCGCUGAACUUAAGCAUAUCAAAAGCGGAGGA